Molecule: transfer RNA, 71 nt
Filed under: Marmota monax (woodchuck)
Lineage: Eukaryota; Metazoa; Chordata; Mammalia; Rodentia; Sciuridae
Description: tRNA.Ala
Rfam family: tRNA
About the family: Transfer RNA (tRNA) molecules are approximately 80 nucleotides in length. Their secondary structure includes four short double-helical elements and three loops (D, anti-codon, and T loops).
Source: RNAcentral
GGGGUUGUGGCUCAGUGGUAGAGCACUUGCGUAGCAUGUAUGAGGCCUUGGGUUUAAUUCACAGCACCACA